This 253-nucleotide ribosomal RNA is filed under the name uncultured bacterium. RNAcentral describes it as "partial 16S ribosomal RNA". It matches the Rfam family "Bacterial small subunit ribosomal RNA", at positions 524 to 776 of the family's 1533-position model. The record is from RNAcentral.
UACGUAGGGGGCAAGCGUUGUCCGGAUUUAUUGGGCGUAAAGAGCGUGUAGGCGGCCUGACAAGUCUGCUGUGAAAACUCGAGGCUCAACCUCGAGAUGUCGGCGGAAACUGUCUGGCUAGAGUCCGGAAGAGGAGAGUGGAAUUCCUGGUGUAGCGGUGAAAUGCGCAGAUAUCAGGAAGAACACCUAUGGCGAAGGCAGCUGUCUGGGCCGGUACUGACGCUGAGACGCGAAAGCGUGGGGAGCGAACAGG